RNAcentral lists this ribosomal RNA (253 nucleotides) under uncultured Sutterella sp. RNAcentral describes it as "partial 16S ribosomal RNA". It matches the Rfam family "Bacterial small subunit ribosomal RNA", at positions 524 to 776 of the family's 1533-position model. The record is from RNAcentral. Lineage: Bacteria; Pseudomonadati; Pseudomonadota; Betaproteobacteria; Burkholderiales; Sutterellaceae.
UACGUAGGGUGCGAGCGUUAAUCGGAAUUACUGGGCGUAAAGGGUGUGCAGGCGGUUUUGCAAGAUGGAUGUGAAAGCCCCGGGCUUAACCUGGGAAAGCCAUACAUGACUGCAAGACUAGAGUGCGUCAGAGGGGGGUGGAAUUCCAAGUGUAGCAGUGAAAUGCGUAGAUAUCGAGAGGAACACUCGUGGCGAAGGCGGGUUCCUGGACAUUAACUGACGCUGAGGCACGAAGGCCAGGGGAGCGAAAGGG